This 253-nucleotide ribosomal RNA is filed under the name uncultured bacterium. RNAcentral describes it as "partial 16S ribosomal RNA". It matches the Rfam family "Bacterial small subunit ribosomal RNA", at positions 524 to 776 of the family's 1533-position model. The record is from RNAcentral.
UACGUAGGGUGCGAGCGUUGUCCGGAAUUACUGGGCGUAAAGCGCACGUAGGCGGAUCGAUCAGUCAGGGGUGAAAUCCCAGGGCUCAACCCUUGAACUGCCUUUGAUACUGUCGAUCUGGAGUAUGGAAGAGGUGAGUGGAAUUCCGAGUCUAGAGGUGAAAUUCGUAGAUAUUCGGAGGAACACCAGUGGCGAAGGCGGCUCACUGGUCCAUUACUGACGCUGAGGUGCGAAAGCGUGGGGAGCAAACAGG